ACCAGUGUGGUGUAGUGGUCUGACUAUUGGAUUAUGACUCUGGAGACUAGGGUUCAAAUCCCUGCUUUGCCA
Molecule: transfer RNA, 72 nt
Filed under: Phrynosoma platyrhinos (Desert horned lizard)
Lineage: Eukaryota; Metazoa; Chordata; Lepidosauria; Squamata; Phrynosomatidae
Description: tRNA-OTHER
Source: RNAcentral